RNAcentral lists this ribosomal RNA (588 nucleotides) under uncultured bacterium. RNAcentral describes it as "partial 16S ribosomal RNA". It matches the Rfam family "Bacterial small subunit ribosomal RNA", at positions 355 to 1375 of the family's 1533-position model. The record is from RNAcentral.
UGGGGAAUUUUGGACAAUGGGCGAAAGCCUGAUCCAGCAAUGCCGCGUGUGUGAAGAAGGCCUUCGGGUUGUAAAGCACUUUUGUCCGGAAAGAAAUCCUUGGCUCUAAUACAGUCGGGGGAUGACGGUACCGGAAGAAUAAGCACCGGCUAACUACGUGCCAGCAGCCGCGGUAAUACGUAGGGUGCAAGCGUUAAUCGGAAUUACUGGGCGUAAAGCGUGCGCAGGCGGUUUGCUAAGACCGAUGUGAAAUCCCCGGGCUCAACCUGGGAACUGCGUUGGUGACUGGCAGGCUAGAGUAUGGCAGAGGGGGGUAGAAUUCCACGUGUAGCAGUGAAAUGCGUAGAGAUGUGGAGGAAUACCGAUGGCGAAGGCAGCCCCCUGGGCCAAUACUGACGCUCAUGCACGAAAAGCGUGGGGAGCAAAACAGGAUUAGAUACCCUGGUAGUCCACGCCCUAAAACGAUGUCAACUAGUUGUUGGGGAUUCAUUUCCUUAGUAACGUAGCUAACGCGUGAAGUUGACCGCCUGGGGAGUACGGUCGCAAGAUUAAAACUCAAAGGAAUUGACGGGGUCAUAGCUGUUUCCU